CCUACGGGUGGCUGCAGUGAGGAAUAUUGGUCAAUGGACGAGAGUCUGAACCAGCCAAGUAGCGUGAAGGAUGACUGCCCUAUGGGUUGUAAACUUCUUUUGCCGGGGAGCAACGGGCGCCACGUGUGGCGCCACUGAGAGUACCCGGAGAAAAAGCAUCGGCUAACUCCGUGCCAGCAGCCGCGGUAAUACGGAGGAUGCGAGCGUUAUCCGGAUUUAUUGGGUUUAAAGGGUGCGUAGGCGGAGCGUUAAGUCAGUGGUCAAAUUGAGGGGCUCAACCCCUUCCCGCCAUUGAAACUGGCGCUCUUGAGUGGAAGAGAAGUAUGCGGAAUGCGUGGUGUAGCGGUGAAAUGCAUAGAUAUCACGCAGAACCCCGAUUGCGAAGGCAGCAUGCCGGCUUCCUACUGACGCUGAAGCACGAAAGCGUGGGGAUCGAACAGGAUUAGAUACCCCAGUAGUC
Molecule: ribosomal RNA, 460 nt
Filed under: uncultured bacterium
Lineage: Bacteria
Description: partial 16S ribosomal RNA
Rfam family: Bacterial small subunit ribosomal RNA
Source: RNAcentral